UACGGGGGGGGCAAGCGUUGUUCGGAAUUACUGGGCGUAAAGGGCUCGUAGGCGGCCAACUAAGUCGGACGUGAAAUCCCCAGGCUCAACCUGGGAACUGCGUCCGAUACUGGAUGGCUUGAAUCCGGGAGAGGGAUGCAGAAUUCCAGGUGUAGCGGUGAAAUGCGUAGAUAUCUGGAGGAAUACCGGUGGCGAAGGCGGCAUCUUGGACCGGCAUUGACGCUGAGGAGCGAAAGCCAGGGGAGCAAACGGG
RNAcentral lists this ribosomal RNA (253 nucleotides) under uncultured bacterium. Its description in RNAcentral is "partial 16S ribosomal RNA". It matches the Rfam family "Bacterial small subunit ribosomal RNA", at positions 524 to 776 of the family's 1533-position model. The record is from RNAcentral.